This 605-nucleotide ribosomal RNA is filed under the name Mammaliicoccus sciuri. Its description in RNAcentral is "partial 23S ribosomal RNA". It matches the Rfam family "Bacterial large subunit ribosomal RNA", at positions 2318 to 2925 of the family's 2925-position model. The record is from RNAcentral. Lineage: Bacteria; Bacillati; Bacillota; Bacilli; Caryophanales; Staphylococcaceae.
UCCCUCAGAAUGGUUGGAAAUCAUUCGCAGAGUGUAAAGGCACAAGGGAGCUUGACUGCGAGACCUACAAGUCGAGCAGGGUCGAAAGACGGACUUAGUGAUCCGGUGGUUCCGCAUGGAAGGGCCAUCGCUCAACGGAUAAAAGCUACCCCGGGGAUAACAGGCUUAUCUCCCCCAAGAGUUCACAUCGACGGGGAGGUUUGGCACCUCGAUGUCGGCUCAUCGCAUCCUGGGGCUGUAGUCGGUCCCAAGGGUUGGGCUGUUCGCCCAUUAAAGCGGUACGCGAGCUGGGUUCAGAACGUCGUGAGACAGUUCGGUCCCUAUCCGUCGUGGGCGUAGGAAAUUUGAGAGGAGCUGUCCUUAGUACGAGAGGACCGGGAUGGACAUACCUCUGGUGUACCAGUUGUCGCGCCAGCGGCAUAGCUGGGUAGCUAUGUAUGGACGGGAUAAGUGCUGAAAGCAUCUAAGCAUGAAGCCCCCCUCAAGAUGAGAUUUCCCAACUUCGGUUAUAAGAUCCCUCAAAGAUGAUGAGGUUAAUAGGUUCGGGGUGUAAGCGCAGUAAUGUGUGUAGCUGACGAAUACUAAUCGAUCGAAGACUUAAUCAA